Molecule: non-coding RNA, 102 nt
Filed under: Rossellomorea marisflavi
Lineage: Bacteria; Bacillati; Bacillota; Bacilli; Caryophanales; Bacillaceae
Also listed under: 1 other name
Description: Bacillus marisflavi Guanine sequence
Rfam family: Purine riboswitch aptamer
About the family: Riboswitches are metabolite binding domains within certain messenger RNAs that serve as precision sensors for their corresponding targets. Allosteric rearrangement of mRNA structure is mediated by ligand binding, and this results in modulation of gene expression. A class of riboswitches that selectively recognises guanine and becomes saturated at concentrations as low as 5 nM.
Source: Rfam by way of RNAcentral
CAACUACAUAAAAAGCACACUCAUAUAACGGCAGGGAUAGGGCCUGCAAGUUUCUACCGAUUCACCGUAAAUGAAUCGACUAUGGGUGAGCAAUGCGGCGUA